CCUACGGGUGGCAGCAGUAGGGGAUAUUGCACAAUGGGGGAAACCCGGAUGCAGCGACGCCGCGUGAGUGAAGACGUAUUUCGGUAUGUAAAGCUCUAUCAGCAGGGAAGAAAAUGACAUUACCUGACCAAGAAGACCCGGCUAACUACGUGCCAGCAGCCGCGGUAAUAAGUAGGGGGCAAGCGUUAUCCGGAUUUACUGGGUGUAAAGGGAGCGUAGACGGUUAUGUAAGUCUGGAGUGAAGACCCGGGGCACAACCCCGGGACUGCUUUGGAAACUGUGUAACUGGAGUACAGGAUGUGCAGGCGGAAUUCCUGGUGUAGCGGUGAAAUGCGUAGAUAUCAGGAGGAACACCGGCGGCGAAGGCGGCCUGCUGGACUGAAACUGACGUUGAGGCUCGAAAGCGUGGGGAGCAAACAGGAUUAGAUACCCGUGUAGUC
Molecule: ribosomal RNA, 440 nt
Filed under: uncultured bacterium
Lineage: Bacteria
Description: partial 16S ribosomal RNA
Rfam family: Bacterial small subunit ribosomal RNA
Source: RNAcentral